This is a long non-coding RNA of Apteryx haastii (Great spotted kiwi), 1218 nucleotides long. The record is from Ensembl. NCBI's taxonomy places the organism in Eukaryota, Metazoa, Chordata, Aves, Apterygiformes, Apterygidae.
AUGAAACCCCCAAGGGGAUUUCAAGCUCUACUGAAUUCAGGGAUCUUCUUGACACAGGUGGUGGAGGAGCCAACAAGGAGAGGUGUGCUGCUGGACCUCGUACUAACAAACAAAGAAGGACUGGUGGAAGAUGUGAAGGUCGGGGGCUGCCUUGGCUGCAGUGACCAUGAGAUGGUGGAGUUCAGGAUCCUGCGAGGAGGCAGCAGGGCACCAAGUAGGAUCGCAACACUGGACUUCAGGAGAGCAAACUUUGGCCUCUUCAGGGACCUACUUGGAGGAAUCCCAUGGGUGAGGGCCCUAGAAGGAAGGAGUGUUCAAGAGAGCUGGUUAAUAUUCAAACAUCACUUCCUCCAGGCUCAAGAGCGGUGCAUCCCUAUGAGUAGGAAGUCAAGCAAAGGAGGCAGGAGACCUGCAUGGAUGAGCAAGGAGCUCCUGGCAAAACUCAACCAGAAGAAGGAAGUAUACAGAAAGUGGAAAGGGGGACAGGCCACUUGGGAGGAAUAUAGGAACGUUGUCAGAGUAUGCAGGGAUGCGACAAGGAAGGCUAAGGCCCGUUUGGAAUUAAAUCUGGCGAGAGAUGUCAAGGACAGCAAGAAGGGCUUCUUCAAAUACAUCAGUAGCAAGAGGAAGACUAGGGAAAAUGUGGGCCCUUUGCUGAAUGGGGUGGGUGCCCUGGUGACAAAGGAUGCAGAGAAGGCAGAGUUACUGAAUGCCUUCUUUGCUUCAGUCUUUACUGCUCAGGCCAGCCCUCAGGAACCCCAGAUCCUGGAGGCAAGAGAGAAAGUCUGGAGAGAGGAAGACUUUCCCUUGGUGGAGGAGGAUUGGGUUAGAGAUCAUUUAAGCAAACUUGACACCCACAAAUCCAUGGGCCCUGAUGGGAUGCACCCACGAGUGCUGAGGGAGCUGGUGGACAUUAUUGCUAAGCCACUCUCCAUCAUCUUUGAAAGGUCMUGGAGAACAGGAGAGGUGCCUGAGGACUGGAAGAAAGCCAAUGUCACCCCASUCUUCAAAAAGGGCAAGAAGGAGGACCCAGGGAACUACAGGCCAGUCAGUCUCACCUCCAUCCCUGGAAAGGUGAUGGAGCAGCUCAUCCUGGAAGCCAUCUCCAAGCAUGUGGAGGAAAAGAAGGUGAUCAGGAGUAGUCAGCAUGGCUUCACCAAGGGGAAAUCAUGCCUAACCAAUCUGAUAGCCUUCUGUGAUGGAAUGACUGGCUGGUAG